This 3256-nucleotide long non-coding RNA is filed under the name Stegodyphus dumicola. RNAcentral describes it as "uncharacterized LOC118180520". Lineage: Eukaryota; Metazoa; Arthropoda; Arachnida; Araneae; Eresidae. The record is from RNAcentral.
GUUGGGGAUGUUUCCAUAACCGGCACUUGGCAAAAUUGCGGAUUUGUUUACAUCGGAAGUGAGCGUACGUGCGCCAGAAUAUGGUAACCCUGAUAAUUGUUGCAACCCACACAGGGAAUUUUCCUGAAGGAGGAAAAGGGAAAUUUUCUGUUUACUUUUCGAACAUUACGGUAAGAGAAAAUAAAGUUUGAAAGUCGCAAAUCAUUAUUAGUUCAUAUUUUCGCAAAACGUUUAUGGGGUUUAUUUUUCGAACAUUACGGUAAAAGAAAAUAAAGUUUUUUAUAUUUUCGCAAAACGUUUAUGGGGUUUGGGGAGUUAAAAAAUGCAGCAAAUUAUUAUUAUUAACAUAACAAAAUGUUCCUUUUUUAGGUAUUAUAUAUGUUAUAAAUAUUGCUAUUGCCAUGAAGACAAACUGGGCAAAGUUAAAAUGAUACCAACAACAACAGCAUUUAAUUUAUUAUAGCUUUUUUCUUACUUUUACUAGAAUUCUAAUGAUAAAAUGAUUAGUGCAUUUAAAUACAUAUUAAAUGAAAAUAUUAAAAUAGAUAUGGAGAUGCAUUAAAUAUGAUUUGGACUAAUUUAAUUAUGUAUUCUUACAUAUAUAGCUAUGCACAUUUAAUUUUUCUCAAUAAAAAUAAUUAAGCUAUCCUUAUUAUUUUUAUAUGUCUAUACAUUUUUUAACUCUGCACAUAGCUACUCAGAAAGAAAGAUAUAUGGGUAGGAUAUAAGAAGAUAAAAAUUAUUAAUCUUCCCUUCAAAGUCAAAUGGAUAUAGCUGUAGUAUAUGAUUUCAAAAAAAAGUAAAUCAUUAGAAUAUUAAGCUGAAAAUAUAAGUCUGAAAGAAAGAGAUUUUUCUUAAAUUCAAACUGUGCACAAAACAUUUCAGAUGCAUUCAAACUCUGAACUGGAACAUGUUAAUUUACUGUUGUGGAACUAAUAUGAAAAUAAUAUUGUUGACAGUAUAGUAGUGUACCACCAAAGAAUUUAUGCUGGGAGAAGAAGCAAAGCUUCGAUGACACCACAAAGCCAAAUGAUAACUGGCUUAAUUUUUACUCUUUUUAUGCAUAAAAUGUCAUAGUUGUUAGUAUCUCAUUAAAAUGUAUUUUCUAAUAAUAUAAUGAUUUGCAAAUGAUGGAAAUUUACUUGUCAUUAAAACAUUUUGUUCUAAACAUGCUUCAGCUUAUCAAAGAAGUUAAAGCUAUUCCAACCUAUCCCCCAUAUUAAAGUUUUUUUGAUUAAAUCAGGUUCAUGUCUAAUGCAUCAAAAAUAUAAAUAAACCUUCUUUAGUAUUUGUCAAACAUCAGUUCUCAUGGCCUUAAAUUGGAUGCAAGAUUUAUUUCACAAAGUUAUGUUUUCACUUAUGGGGCAAAACUUUUAAAUUUGUUAUUUGAAUCUGUUACAUUAGUCUUUAUUUUAAAGAAUAUAUUGUAUGUCAUAUGGCCAUGAAGGCAACCUGGUUAAAGUAGAAAUGAAAUCAAACUUUCUAAUUAAUGUGAUUUGAAGCCAUUGUGUUAUACUUCGAGGAAUAUGUUAUAUGGUAAAUAUGUGUGCUCAUGUUUUUCCUGGAAAGGGCAUAACAUUUUUUUACAGAAAUAAGUUACCAACCUAAAUCUAUUGUCAUGGCAAUUAAAUUUUUCUGAAAGAGCAGGAUUAUUUAUAAGCCAAGUGCUAAACCUUUGUAUUGUUACCCUGAUCAUGAAAUUUUAAAUGGUGAUUUAAUUUCUUUUUUCAGGUUGAACUGCCCUUCAAUGAAAGCUUUUGCUCGAUGUGUGGCCUGUAAUAGCAAUAAAUGGGACUUUUGUGAACUGAAAUCUGUUAGGCUUUCCAAAAUCCAGAAAGCUGAUUAGGUGUGCAGAAGCAGCAGACUUGUAAAUGUGAAGGAGCUAUUUGCUUAGUUAUGCAGUAGAAUUCACCACCCUGCGGCAAGCUUCAUUAAAGCUGUGAACAGCCAAGCUAACCAUCUUCAGGGCAAGUGGCUGCAUCAAGCAAACCCAGUGACAUUCCAAAGAGGAAUGUCAGUCAAAAUAAAAACUUAAUACCUAAAUCUCGGAAAAUCAGACAAUUAAGCCACAAAUCUUGUGACCAAUUUUUCAGUUGCUGUGCUUAGUGCGAUAAAGUUAUAUGGCAAUAAACUGAAAAGCUAUGGCAGGUAUUCUAUUGUACCCUUUAAUGAAAUCAAUUUAAAGCAAGCUUAUCAUAUGAUAAGCAAAAUGAUUGUAUCAUUGGAUAUGAAGACUAUGGUAAUGAUUGCAUUGCUGGGUAUGCAGGCUAUGGUUCUACAAUGAGCCAAAUGUAAUAUCUCAGUAUGCUGUGACUAUUAAAAUUAUAACUUAUGUAUUAUUACUUCAUAUUGGUCAUUAUGUUCCAAAAUAGAUGCUCUUUUUAUAUAGAACUAUAUAAAUGUAGAAAAUCUGAGAAGUUAAUUUUAUAUGGAAAGCCUUCGUGCAAAAUUAAUAGCAUCUUGUUAAUUUCAUAUAUGUUUUGUGAAAGUAAUUGCUGCUGAAUCUAGAAUUAAUGCAUUAUCUGAGAUUUGAGACAAAAUUUGUCAAAUUAGAAGAUAGUGAAAUAGAUAAAUAGGAAAUGAAACAUGAAAUUUAUAUAUUUAAUAUUGAAAUAAAUAUCUCAGUAAAGUGGCUGUAUGUAAAGUAUAAUGAUGCAAUUUUUAUAAUUUUUUACUAAAAUGCUAAAAUUAUGUGCUAUGAAAAUUUUAUUUUCAUUAAUAUUUAUAAUUUUUUCCUCGCAAAUUUUUAUCCAAGGUGUCUAUGUUUUAGCUAUUUUAGAUUUUUCUGUUUUAAUGUUAAAAAUAUCUUCUUUAUCAGCAUUACAUUAAAAUCCAUCUCAUAAUCAUUUGAAAACGAAGGAAAUUUCAUUCUUUUCAAUAGUUUAAGAAUAUUUUCAUAAAACAUAAUUAUAGAAAAAAUGAACUGAUACAUUUAUAGUUAUAUAUAUGUAAAGAAAAUUUUUUAGAAGGAUCCUUUUUUCCAUACCAGAAACAUUUCAUGAGCUGUAAUAUGUAAUAUUAGUUGGCCUAAUAUGUAAAAGGAAUGUUUAAUCAAAUUAUUUUUAUUAUGCUUUUAUAAAUAUCACUAUAAUUUUAAGAGUUAUUGAAUUUAAAAGUGAAAGAAAAAGCUACAGUUAUUUCAAGACUCUUUAAUAAAACAAUUCUUUAUUCUUGUAUUCUCGUAUGAAAAUUUUCUGUAUAUUUAACAUAAAAUUGUAUGCAUGUAAAUAAAUUUUUUAAUUUAUUAUUAUCAUUC